This 850-nucleotide small RNA is filed under the name Pongo abelii (Sumatran orangutan). RNAcentral's name for it is "processed transcript". Lineage: Eukaryota; Metazoa; Chordata; Mammalia; Primates; Hominidae. The record is from RNAcentral.
CGAGAGGCCAUGGCCCGCCAGACCGUAGUCUCAGACACAGAGCUGAGUAUUGUUGAAUCAUCUGUGAUCAGCUUGCUGCAGGAGGCAGAAAGUAAAUCUGAACUUAGUCAGAACAUCUCUGCCCGGGAACAUUUUGUAUUUACCGAUAAUGAUGGCCAAGUUUAUCAUCUCACUGUUGAAGGAAACUCAGUAAAAGAUAGUGCUCGGAUUCCACCAGAUGGAAGUAUGGGUAGUAUUACCUGCAUCGCUUGGAAAGGUGAUACAUUAGUGCUUGGAGAUGUGGAUGGAAAUUUAAAUUUCUGGGACUUGAAAGGCAGAGUAUCCAGAGGAAUACCUACACACCGAAGUUGGGUGAGGAAGAUUCGUUUUGCUCCUGGUAAAGGAAAUCAAAAAUUAAUAGCAAUGUACAAUGAUGGAGCUGAAGUGUGGGAUACUAAAGAGAGCCUGUGUGGUGCCCCUAUCUCCUUGUUCCAAGGGCUUCUCUUGCCUUGAAAGCCUUCUUAUUACACCAGCCUUGGAAUGGACAGUAUUCUUUGGACAUUUCUUAUGUUGACUAUCCAGAAAAUGAAGAAAUAAAGAAUCUCCUCCAAGAACAGUUGAAUUCAUUGUCUAAUGACAUAAAGAAACUGUUGCUUGAUCCAGAAUUCACUCUCUUGCAGAGGUGCCUGCUUGUUUCAAGGCUCUAUGGUGAUGAAUCUGAGCUGCACUUCUGGACUGUCGCUGCCCACUACCUGCACAGCUUAUCCCAGGAAAAGUCAGCCAGCACAACAGCUCCUAAAGAAGCUGCUCCUCGAGACAAACUGAGCAACCCACUGGAUAUAUGCUAUGAUGUGCUCUGCGAAAAUGCCUA